This 438-nucleotide ribosomal RNA is filed under the name uncultured bacterium. RNAcentral describes it as "bacterial SSU rRNA". It matches the Rfam family "Bacterial small subunit ribosomal RNA", at positions 339 to 794 of the family's 1533-position model. The record is from RNAcentral.
UUACGGGAGGCAGCAGUAGGGAAUCUUGCGCAAUGGGCGAAAGCCUGACGCAGCCAUGCCGCGUGAAUGAUGAAGGUCUUAGGAUUGUAAAAUUCUUUCACCGGGGAAGAUAAUGACGGUACCCGGAGAAGAAGCCCCGGCUAACUUCGUGCCAGCAGCCGCGGUAAUACGAAGGGGGCUAGCGUUGCUCGGAAUUACUGGGCGUAAAGGGCGCGUAGGCGGAUAUUUAAGUCGGGGGUGAAAGCCCGGGGCUCAACCUCGGAAUUGCCUUCGAUACUGGAUAUCUUGAGUUCGGGAGAGGUGAGUGGAAUGCCGAGUGUAGAGGUGAAAUUCGUAGAUAUUCGGCGGAACACCAGUGGCGAAGGCGACUCACUGGCCCGAUACUGACGCUGAGGCGCGAAAGCGUGGGGAGCAAACAGGAUUAGAUACCCCGGUAGC